This 307-nucleotide long non-coding RNA is filed under the name Lepisosteus oculatus (spotted gar). Its description in RNAcentral is "lncRNA (ENSLOCG00000023056.1)". The record is from RNAcentral. Lineage: Eukaryota; Metazoa; Chordata; Actinopteri; Semionotiformes; Lepisosteidae.
UUUUAGCUUACCUCUCACGCCGUGCAUUCCCAGGAAGGGAAUCAAGGCAAAACAUCUCCAGCUUACAAGCGAAGAAUUUAAGAUGACAGGGAGGACGACGCGCAUCUUUCUCACCCCAGUCCUGAAGGCUCCAUCAGAUUUAUUUUUUCUAAGAAAAUGCUGCCGUGGUGGAGUGGUCUUCCCCGGCUCUGGAGUGGUGUCACAAUGUCACCUUCUGCGUCUCCUCCAGCAGGCUGUGCCAGCUGAUGGUGAGUCUACACUUUACAGGUGUGCCCUUGUAUAAAAUGCAGUUUUCCAUUUCCUUGCU